GGUAAUUAUUAACAGCAAUAAUCCCCAUAUGACAACAGUUUCAGUCCCCCACAGGAAGGUAUUUCAUUCUCUUCCUCCCCAUGUCCAUUCAGUCGCUGCAAGAGUGAGGUAGCUAUAUCAACAUCAUGGAGAAAGAGCAUAUUUUGUAGUAUGAGCCAUAUGAAUUGACCUGUAGAUGUCACAUUGUCCUCUCACUCAGUCGGGCGACAGAGAGGGGAUGUAAGCUACAGUUUAAUAGAGCGGUCGGAGAGAUUAGUUCAAGGGACAUGUGGGUCAUUGAGAACGGGCGAGGGCCAGAGCCUUGCUGGGGGAACAGACUGGACAGAGAACAGCAGCACCAGAAUAACCAUCCUACCAGGCUCCUGGCCCGGCCCAGACAUCCAGUCAACACCAUCACCUGGCAACAUGGCUCCUGCUCAGCACUCCACCAGGACAGGGCACCUUGUUAUCUGUCCUUUGUCAGUAAGGCCAUCUUGUGGGAUCGAGGACUCUACCACUACACAGACCACACUGUCCGUGAUGGACGUCCUUCUCUGUGUCCUCGUUUCCUGGUUCACAUGAAGGCCUGUCCUGCAGACCUCAGAACCCCACAUCUCCUAUCCAAUAACCCCAGGCCACGUCCUCCUCGCCAGGAAUUGACACAACAAAGACACGCCCUUGGCGGCCUGAAGACGCAUUCAUGUGCAGACUCCAGGAGCCUGCAGCACUGCAGCACCACCAGAGGGAGGCGCUUAGCUGUUGUUGUUCCCUGUGUACCAGUGCCAGUCUCCCCCUCUCCCAGCAGAGCCUCCCCUGAGCUCUCAGUCUGUCCAAGUCCAACAUCCUCUACUGUCACUGACUCUGGGCAGCAGGGGACUGGAUACAACCCUGCUCCAUCAUCAGCCCUACCUCAUGGCCAUACUCAGAAAGGAGAGAAGGAAACAGAGGAUGGUGUUAAAGAGAUGGAUGAAGGCACUUCGGCUUCCUCAGGGGCCUUCCGCCCUCCAAGGCCAGACCAGGAGCCCAAUUCUGGUCCUGAGGACAUAGACCCCUCAGUUUCUCCAAUCCCUAGUGUCUGUGAGGGUUCUCUCUCAGACUUUAGCCGCCCACCAUCCAGCCAGUUCAGCCGAAGCACAGACCUGGGUAGUGGCCGGAGCAGUCCUCUAUGUGCGAAUCUGAGUGACCUGGACUCAGAGGGUGGCUCUCCUCUCUCCCAGCAUGGCUCCUCUUCCAUGUCCCUGUCUGCUCUGGCCUCCUGCACCCCACAGGACCCCCCAGCACACCAGCCCCCAAACCCAGCCCCUCACCACCCUCAAUACCAUCCCCUCCCUCACCAGGCCCAACACUGCCCACCUGACUGGACCACCACGGAGCCCCAGCCAGGCCAUGUCCUCCCACCCUACCCAGACCCAUCCCUGGACCCCAACCUAGACCCUACAACCCUAGCUUUCCCCUCAGACACCUGGCAGUCCUGCCCCAGCCCACAGUGCAAGAUAACUACCCGACCAGGGUCAGGGUUAGGGUCAGGUUUGACCUCAUCCCCUGUGGUGGUGGAGAGGCAGGACUGGACAUCACACCGCUGGUCCGUCCUUCCCCCCAUCUCUCCAGUCAGAGGUGGCAGUGACACAGUGUCCUCCUGGUCCCGCUGUUCUCAGGUCAGCUCUAGCCAGUCCCAUGUGUUUGAUGAACUGGAGGCCAUCGCCCCGCGGACCGGCUCCUGUCUGUCCCUAGACCAGCCACUCAGCCCAGCAGACUGCAGCCCACCUGGUACAGAGAUGUCCCCAGGCCUGGCUGCUCUGACAGUGGGCUGUGACUCAGGGGACCUGGGCUCCCUGUCCCGUGUGCAGCUCCUGCUCCUGGACCGGUCGGACCCUGUGGAGCCCCACUGGCUCGCUGGUCAGGACAUGUACUCCCCAACAGAAGACGGAACAACAGGCCACACAGCGGCGCUCCGAGCCAGAAGACCUCUGAGUCCAACGCUGUAUACUACAGGCGUCCUGCAGCCCCUCACAGCUGGCAGCUGUGGAGACGGCAGUGUGUCUGAGAGGUGUGUCGCCACAGGCAAAGUCCAGGGACAGGGUGAGCACACAAUGCAGUCCCACAACGAGGAUGGUUCCAGGUCACCAUCGUCAUGGAUCAGUGAUUCCAGUCCAUCAGGCACCAUAUCCGGGUCCACCAGUUCCCAAUGCGAGUCCUGCUGUGGCCCCAGCCCAGACCAGGGGGUUCCAGUGAAGGAGGAGCCUGGUUGCCCUGAUUGGGGGGAGCGAGGCUGGGCUUCCACAGGGGCCAGGAGAAGGCCAGGGAGGCUGGAGCGCAGGAUUAGGGAGAAGGAGCGAAAAAGGGAGGAGAGAAAGACAAAGGUGCUAAACAUCUACUCCAGACUCCAGGACAGCGGGCCCCUCCAGCCCAGCCGCAACAGGGGCCGCUCCAGGUUUGAGGACUUCGACUUCUUGGCAAAGUAUUGCAUUUUCAGCCAGGAGAAGCUGGCAGAAUACAAAAGGGCUUUUGAAGCGGUUGACAGUGAUGCUGAUGGUUACAUUUCCUGCCUGCAAGUGCUGCUGGCACUAAAGAAGAUCAUCCCUCCAGAGCUGCUAACUGAUGAAGAAGAGAUAUAUGUCUACAGGAUCCUGGAGAUGGUGGAUUUCAGGGUGACAGAUGGACUUACAGACCUGAGGCUCUUUGCUGUGAUUGCGAGCCUGGCGCAGAAAAUAGCUACCAUGGAUGUAUUUAUGCGUUCCCUGAUAAGCAAAAUGGACUUCCAUUCUUUGGCAUUAAAGCUAUACAAAGCAAAGCAGCUGUUCAUGUUCCUGCUGGAGGGGCAGUCAGGGGGCGCUGUGGCCCAGCAGGGCUGUAUCAGCGCAGAGCAGCUCCUAGUGGAGCUCAAGGCCGGGGGCAUCCGACCAGAACAAGAGGAAGCCAUCAAACAGGAGCUCCGACACAUCAGCUCCCUGGACCUGCUGGACUUCCUGGCGUACCUGCCCCUCUUCGUCCUAAUCCACAACUCAGUCAUCGCCAACCCACUGGAUGACUCCAGCAACCUGUGA
This 3023-nucleotide long non-coding RNA is filed under the name Oncorhynchus kisutch (coho salmon). RNAcentral's name for it is "lncRNA (ENSOKIG00005046915.1)". The record is from RNAcentral. Lineage: Eukaryota; Metazoa; Chordata; Actinopteri; Salmoniformes; Salmonidae.